Non-coding RNA from Podarcis lilfordi (Lilford's wall lizard), 103 nucleotides. The record is from the annotation of a GenBank genome assembly. NCBI's taxonomy places the organism in Eukaryota, Metazoa, Chordata, Lepidosauria, Squamata, Lacertidae.
ACCUUAGAGACCAACUAAGUUUGUUAUUGGUAUGAGCUUUCGUGUGCAUGCACACUGCACACGAAAGCUCAUACCAAUAACAAACUUAGUUGGUCUCUAAGGU